This 976-nucleotide ribosomal RNA is filed under the name Mycoporum antecellens. Its description in RNAcentral is "SSU rRNA". It matches the Rfam family "Bacterial small subunit ribosomal RNA", at positions 370 to 1293 of the family's 1533-position model. The record is from RNAcentral. Lineage: Eukaryota; Fungi; Ascomycota; Dothideomycetes; Mycoporaceae.
AAUAGCCUAACGGCUGAACCAGCAAUUUGGGGGAAUGUAAAUAUGUAUAAUUAUAUACAUAUGUAUUGGUUUUACCAAAUAAAAUUCUGAAUAGAUAAUUGAUAAUGACAAACUUCUAUUCAUAUGUCUUGACCAAUGCUUGUGCCAGCAGUCGCGGUAACACAAGUAAGACUAGUGUUAUUCAUCUUUAUUAGGUUUAAAGGGUACCUAGACGGCAUUUAAUUGCUAGAGUUUUAUGUGAGAGGUAUAUAUUAGAUAGGUUUGUGUAGAGAUAUAAUUCUUUGAUACUUAUAGAAUGUGUAACGGCGAAGGCAACCCUCUAUGUAGAAACUGACGUUAAGGGACGAAGGCUUGGGGAGCAAAUAGGAUUAGAGACCCUAGUAGUCCAGGCAGAAAAUUAUGAAUGUUAUAUACAACUUUUAAAGGUGUGUAUAAAUGAAAGUGUAAGCAUUCCACCUCAAGAGUAAUGCGGCAACGCAGGAACUGAAAUCAUUAGACCGUAUCUGAAACCAGUACUGAAGUAUGUUAUUUAAUUCGAUGAUCCUCGAAAAACCUUACCACAAUUUGAAUAGUAUUUUUUUUUUCAUGAAAUGAUUAUAUGACAUUUCUAUAAACGAAUAAAUAAAUAAACCAAUAAACAAAUAGAAUAUUACAAGCGUUGCACGGCUGUCUUUAGUAAAUGUCGUGAGACUAUGGUUAGAUCCAUUAAAUUAACGUGAUCCCUUGCUUUAUUACCAGAAUUAUAGCAUGUAAUACUUUAUCUUUUUUCAUCACCUUAAUAGGUAGUAGAAAUGGUAUUACGUAUACAUGGUUGUCUAAAAAUAGAGUGGUCAACUCACUACAACGAGUUUGAUAUUAGGGGCCAAGGCAAGUCAUCAUGACCUUAAUAUUGUGGGCUAUAGACGUGCCACAUAUAUCUGUACAAAGAGAGACAAAAAUGCAAAUUUGAGUUAAACUCCAAAACAGGAUAGAAAAU